Molecule: ribosomal RNA, 503 nt
Filed under: uncultured bacterium
Lineage: Bacteria
Description: partial 16S ribosomal RNA
Rfam family: Bacterial small subunit ribosomal RNA
Source: RNAcentral
AUUGAACGCUGGCGGCAGGCUUAACACAUGCAAGUCGAGCGGGGUGAUGGUGCUUGCACUAUCACUUAGCGGCGGACGGGUGAGUAAUGCUUAGGAAUCUGCCUAUUAGUGGGGGACAACAUCUCGAAAGGGAUGCUAAUACCGCAUACGUCCUACGGGAGAAAGCAGGGGAUCACUUGUGACCUUGCGCUAAUAGAUGAGCCUAAGUCGGAUUAGCUAGUUGGUGGGGUAAAGGCCUACCAAGGCGACGAUCUGUAGCGGGUCUGAGAGGAUGAGCCGCCACACUGGGACUGAGACACGGCCCAGACUCCUACGGGAGGCAGCAGUGGGGAAUAUUGGACAAUGGGGGGAACCCUGAUCCAGCCAUGCCGCGUGUGUGAAGAAGGCCACAUGGUUGUAAAGCACUUUAAGCGAGGAGGAGGCUCUUUUGGUUAAUACCCAAGAUGAGUGGACGUUACUCGCAGAAUAAGCACCGGCUAACUCUGUGCCAGCCGCCGCAGUAA